This 2362-nucleotide ribosomal RNA is filed under the name bioreactor sludge metagenome. Its description in RNAcentral is "bacterial LSU rRNA". It matches the Rfam family "Bacterial large subunit ribosomal RNA", at positions 3 to 2317 of the family's 2925-position model. The record is from RNAcentral.
UUAAGGUACAAAGGGCACGCGGGGAAUGCCUUGGCGCCAGAUGCCGAAGAAAGACGCAGCCAGCUGCGAAAAGCCGCGGGGAGGAGCAAGCAUCCCGUGAUCCGCGGAUAUCUGAAUGGGGAAACCUGCAUGGAGCAUUCCAUGCGCCCGAAAAGGGCGGCAACCCGGUGAAGUGAAACAUCUCAGUAACCGGAGGAAGAGAAAUCGAUAGAGAUGCCCCAAGUAGUGGUGAGCGAAAGGGGUAAAGCCUAAACCGUAUGCAUGCCAAGCCUGCAGGCGUUGUGCAUAUGGGGUCGCGGGAUCCAUGAGCGGAGAUCUGCAGAUUUCCGGAGGAGUCACAAAAUAUUUUCAUAGUUGAAUCGUGUUGGGAAAACGAGCCGCAGAGGGUGAAAGCCCCGUAAGCGAAAUGGAAAUAACUCCUUUGAUGGACACCCAAGUAGUGCGGAGCACGUGAAAUUCCGUAUGAAUCAGGGCCGACCACGGUCCAAGGCUAAAUACAUCUGGCGACCGAUAGUGAAGCAGUACCGAGAGGGAAAGGUGAAAAGCACCCCUGGCGGGGAGUGAAAUAGACCUGAAACCGCGUGCUUACAAGCAGUCGGAGCAUGUAUACAUGUGACGGCGUGCCUCUUGGAAAAUGAGCCGUCGAGUUAUGGUAUGUGGCGAGGAUAAGAACUACAAGGUUCGGAUCCGCAGGGAAACCGAGUCUGAACAGGGCGCAAGUCGCAUGCUAUAGACCCGAAGCCAUACGAUCUAUCCAUGUCCAGGUUGAAGACCGGGUAACACCGGUUGGAGGACCGAACCACAGCCUGUUGAAAAAGGCCUGGAUGAGGUGUGGAUAGGAGUGAAAAGCUAAUCGAGUAUGGUGAUAGCUGGUUCUCCCCGAAAUGCAUUGAGGUGCAGCCUCAUUUAUAGAUUUAUGGGGGGUAGAGCACUGAAUGAGUAAGGGGGCAGAUGUGCCUACCGAGCUCAAUCAAACUCCGAAUACCCAUAAAAUUUGGAUGGGAGUGAGACUACGGGUGCGAAGAUUCGUGGUCGAAAGGGAAACAGCCCAGCCCGACAGCUAAGGUCCCAAAGCCUGUGCUAAGUGUUACAAGGAUGUGGGGAAGCAAAGACAGCCAGGAGGUUGGCUCAGAAGCAGCCACCCUUGAAAGAGUGCGUAACAGCUCACUGGUCGAGCGUCCCUGCGCCAAAAAUGUGGGGGGCUAAGCACAGCGCCGAAGCUUCGGAUUCAAUGGAGAUAUCCAUUGACUGGUAGGGGAGCGUUCCAUACGGGACGAAGCAGAACUGUAAGGUUCUGUGGACUUUAUGGAAGUGAGAAUGACGGCAUGAGUAGCGAAAAGUGUGCGAGAAACACACUCACCGAAAACCCAAGGAUUCCUGGGGAAGGCUCAUCCACCCAGGGUUAGGCGGGACCUAAGGCGAGGCCGAAAGGCGUAGCCGAUGGACAACAGGUAGACAAUCCUGUCCUUCGUACGAUCGUUUGACCGAUGGAGUGACGCAGAAAGCUAUGUGCGCCGGGUGACGGAAGUCCCGGUCCAAGGAAGUAGGCUGGUGUGGGAGGCAAAUCCCCCGUACCGUUAAGGCCGAGAUCUGAUGGGGUAGUGAAUAAUCACGGGAAGGCACAAAUGCUAUGCUGCCGAGAAAAGCUUCUAGGGAGAGAGUAUGAACCCGUACUGAAAACCGACACAGGUGGGUUGGCUUAGAAGGCUAAGGUGAACGGGAUAACCCUUGUUAAGGAACUCUGCAAGUUGACUCCGUAACUUCGGGAGAAGGAGUGGCUGGAGAUGUUAAGACUAUACGUUGUAAGCAUCUUUGGUUCGCAGAAACCAGGCUCAGGCGACUGUUUAACUAAAACACAGGACUCUGCUUAAGGCGCAAGCCGAAGUAUAGGGUCUGACACCUGCCCGGUGCUGGAAGGUUAAAGGGAGAGGUUAGUCGCAAGGCGAAGCUUUGAACUGAAGCCCCAGUAAACGGCGGCCGUAACUAUAACGGUCCUAAGGUAGCGAAAUUCCUUGUCGGGUAAGUUCCGACCUGCACGAAAGGUGUAACGAUCUGAGCGCUGUCUCAACAGGGGGCCCGGUGAAAUUGUGGUACUGGUAAAGACGCCAGUUACCCGCAGUAGGACGGAAAGACCCCGUGGAGCUUUACUGUAACUUGAUAUUGGAUUUCGGUACACUCUGUAUAGGAUAGGUGGGAGGCUAUGAAGGCAGUGCGCCAGCAUUGUUGGAGCCGUCCUUGGAAUACCACCCUUGGUGUGCUGGGAUUCUAACCGCGUCUGCUGAAUCGCAGCGCGGGACAUUGUCAGGCGGGCAGUUUGACUGGGGCGGUCGCCUCCCAAAGAGUAACGGAGGCGCGCGAAGGU